ACUCACUUGGUGAAAUUAGGUGAAACACGAUGAAUUUAAAAUUCAUUCCUAUUCUUGUAAUUAUAAGGUUAUUGGUUCAAGUCCAAUAGUGAGUA
Molecule: transfer RNA, 95 nt
Filed under: Thorea hispida
Lineage: Eukaryota; Rhodophyta; Florideophyceae; Thoreales; Thoreaceae
Description: tRNA-Leu
Rfam family: tRNA
About the family: Transfer RNA (tRNA) molecules are approximately 80 nucleotides in length. Their secondary structure includes four short double-helical elements and three loops (D, anti-codon, and T loops).
Source: RNAcentral